GAUGAACGCUAGCUACAGGCUUAACACAUGCAAGUCGAGGGGAAACGACAUCGAGAGCUUGCUUUUGAUGGGCGUCGACCGGCGCACGGGUGAGUAACGCGUAUCCAACCUGCCCACCACUUGGGGAUAACCUUGCGAAAGUAAGACUAAUACCCAAUGAUAUCUCUAGAAGACAUCUGAAAGAGAUUAAAGAUUUAUCGGUGAUGGAUGGGGAUGCGUCUGAUUAGCUUGUUGGCGGGGUAACGGCCCACCAAGGCAACGAUCAGUAGGGGUUCUGAGAGGAAGGUCCCCCACAUUGGAACUGAGACACGGUCCAAACUCCUACGGGAGGCAGCAGUGAGGAAUAGUGGUCAAUGGACGAGAGUCUGAACCAGCCAAGUAGCGUGCAGGAAGACGGCCCUAUGGGUUGUAAACUGCUUUUAUAAGGGAAUAAAGUGAGUCUCGUGAGACUUUUUGCAUGUACCUUAUGAAUAAGAACCGGCUAAUUCCGUG
This 492-nucleotide ribosomal RNA is filed under the name uncultured bacterium. RNAcentral's name for it is "partial 16S ribosomal RNA". It matches the Rfam family "Bacterial small subunit ribosomal RNA", at positions 28 to 507 of the family's 1533-position model. The record is from RNAcentral.